RNAcentral lists this ribosomal RNA (1556 nucleotides) under Escherichia coli. RNAcentral describes it as "bacterial SSU rRNA". It matches the Rfam family "Bacterial small subunit ribosomal RNA". Lineage: Bacteria; Pseudomonadati; Pseudomonadota; Gammaproteobacteria; Enterobacterales; Enterobacteriaceae. The record is from RNAcentral.
UUAAAUUGAAGAGUUUGAUCAUGGCUCAGAUUGAACGCUGGCGGCAGGCCUAACACAUGCAAGUCGAACGGUAACAGGAAACAGCUUGCUGUUUCGCUGACGAGUGGCGGACGGGUGAGUAAUGUCUGGGAAACUGCCCGAUGGAGGGGGAUAACUACUGGAAACGGUAGCUAAUACCGCAUAACGUCGCAAGACCAAAGAGGGGGACCUUAGGGCCUCUUGCCAUCGGAUGUGCCCAGAUGGGAUUAGCUAGUAGGUGGGGUAAAGGCUCACCUAGGCGACGAUCCCUAGCUGGUCUGAGAGGAUGACCAGCCACACUGGAACUGAGACACGGUCCAGACUCCUACGGGAGGCAGCAGUGGGGAAUAUUGCACAAUGGGCGCAAGCCUGAUGCAGCCAUGCCGCGUGUAUGAAGAAGGCCUUCGGGUUGUAAAGUACUUUCAGCGGGGAGGAAGGGAGUAAAGUUAAUACCUUUGCUCAUUGACGUUACCCGCAGAAGAAGCACCGGCUAACUCCGUGCCAGCAGCCGCGGUAAUACGGAGGGUGCAAGCGUUAAUCGGAAUUACUGGGCGUAAAGCGCACGCAGGCGGUUUGUUAAGUCAGAUGUGAAAUCCCCGGGCUCAACCUGGGAACUGCAUCUGAUACUGGCAAGCUUGAGUCUCGUAGAGGGGGGUAGAAUUCCAGGUGUAGCGGUGAAAUGCGUAGAGAUCUGGAGGAAUACCGGUGGCGAAGGCGGCCCCCUGGACGAAGACUGACGCUCAGGUGCGAAAGCGUGGGGAGCAAACAGGAUUAGAUACCCUGGUAGUCCACGCCGUAAACGAUGUCGACUUGGAGGUUGUGCCCUUGAGGCGUGGCUUCCGGAGCUAACGCGUUAAGUCGACCGCCUGGGGAGUACGGCCGCAAGGUUAAAACUCAAAUGAAUUGACGGGGGCCCGCACAAGCGGUGGAGCAUGUGGUUUAAUUCGAUGCAACGCGAAGAACCUUACCUGGUCUUGACAUCCACGGAAGUUUUCAGAGAUGAGAAUGUGCCUUCGGGAACCGUGAGACAGGUGCUGCAUGGCUGUCGUCAGCUCGUGUUGUGAAAUGUUGGGUUAAGUCCCGCAACGAGCGCAACCCUUAUCCUUUGUUGCCAGCGGUCCGGCCGGGAACUCAAAGGAGACUGCCAGUGAUAAACUGGAGGAAGGUGGGGAUGACGUCAAGUCAUCAUGGCCCUUACGACCAGGGCUACACACGUGCUACAAUGGCGCAUACAAAGAGAAGCGACCUCGCGAGAGCAAGCGGACCUCAUAAAGUGCGUCGUAGUCCGGAUUGGAGUCUGCAACUCGACUCCAUGAAGUCGGAAUCGCUAGUAAUCGUGGAUCAGAAUGCCACGGUGAAUACGUUCCCGGGCCUUGUACACACCGCCCGUCACACCAUGGGAGUGGGUUGCAAAAGAAGUAGGUAGCUUAACCUUCGGGAGGGCGCUUACCACUUUGUGAUUCAUGACUGGGGUGAAGUCGUAACAAGGUAACCGUAGGGGAACCUGCGGUUGGAUCACCUCCUUACCUUAAAGAAGC